ACGGCUCAGUAACACGUGGAUAACCUGCCCUUGGGUCCGGCAUAACCCCGGGAAACUGGGGAUAAUUCCGGAUAACGCAUAUAUGCUGGAAUGCUUUAUGCGUGAAAUGGAUUCGUCUGCCCAAGGAUGGGUCUGCGGCCUAUCAGGUAGUAGUGGGUGUAAUGUACCUACUAGCCGACGACGGGUACGGGUUGUGAGAGCAAGAGCCCGGAGAUGGAUUCUGAGACAUGAAUCCAGGCCCUACGGGGCGCAGCAGGCGCGAAAACUUUACAAUGCGGGAAACCGUGAUAAGGGGACACCGAGUGCCAGCAUCAUAUGCUGGCUGUCCAGGUGUGUAAAAUACACCUGUUAGCAAGGGCCGGGCAAGACCGGUGCCAGCCGCCGCGGUAACACCGGCGGCCCGAGUGGUGAUCGUGAUUAUUGGGUCUAAAGGGUCCGUAGCCGGUUUGGUCAGUCCUCCGGGAAAUCUGAUAGCUCAACUAUUAGGCUUUCGGGGGAUACUGCCAGACUUGGAACCGGGAGAGGUAAGAGGUACUACAGGGGUAGGAGUGAAAUCUUGUAAUCCCUGUGGGACCACCUGUGGCGAAGGCGUCUUACCAGAACGGGUUCGACGGUGAGGGACGAAAGCUGGGGGCACGAACCGGAUUAGAUACCCGGGUAGUCCCAGCCGUAAACGAUGCUCGCUAGGUGUCAGGCAUGGCGCGACCGUGUCUGGUGCCGCAGGGAAGCCGUGAAGCGAGCCACCUGGGAAGUACGGCCGCAAGGCUGAAACUUAAAGGAAUUGGCGGGGGAGCAC
This 796-nucleotide ribosomal RNA is filed under the name uncultured archaeon. RNAcentral's name for it is "bacterial SSU rRNA". It matches the Rfam family "Archaeal small subunit ribosomal RNA", at positions 85 to 879 of the family's 1478-position model. The record is from RNAcentral.